GAUGAACGCUGGCGGCGUGCCUAAUACAUGCAAGUCGAGCGAAGCGGGGAUGGGUGAGUAACACGUGGAUAACCUCCUAUAAGACUGAGAUAACUUCGGGAAACCGAAGCUAAAUCGGUUACUUAUAGAUAGAUCCGCGCUGCAGUAGCCAGUUGGUAAGGUAACGGCUAACCAAGGCAACGAUGCAUAGCCGACCUGAGAGGGUGAGCGGCCACACUGGAACUGAGAGACGGUCCAUAAUCCUACGGGAGGCAGCAGUAGGGAAUCUGCCGCAAUGGGAGAAAGCCUGACGGAGCAACGCCGCGUGAGUGAUGAAGGUCUUCGGAUCGUAAAACUCUAUUAUGAGGGAAGCGGUACCUAAUCAGAAAGCCACGGCUAACUACGUGCCAGCAGCCGCGGUAAUUC
Molecule: ribosomal RNA, 405 nt
Filed under: uncultured bacterium
Lineage: Bacteria
Description: partial 16S ribosomal RNA
Rfam family: Bacterial small subunit ribosomal RNA
Source: RNAcentral